Molecule: ribosomal RNA, 492 nt
Filed under: uncultured bacterium
Lineage: Bacteria
Description: partial 16S ribosomal RNA
Rfam family: Bacterial small subunit ribosomal RNA
Source: RNAcentral
AGUGAACGCUGGCGGUAGGCCUAACACAUGCAAGUCGAACGGCAGCACAGUAAGAGCUUGCUCUUACGGGUGGCGAGUGGCGGACGGGUGAGGAAUACAUCGUAAUCUACUUUUUCGUGGGGGAUAAUGUAGGGAAACUUACUCUAAUACCGCAUACGACCUACGGGUGAAAGCAGGGGAUCUUCGGACCUUGCGCGAUUGGAUGAGCCGAUGUCGGAUUAGCUAGUUGGCGGGGUAAAGGCCCACCAAGGCGGCGAUCCGUAGCUGGUCUGAGAGGAUGGUCGGCCGCACUGGAACUGGGACACGGUCCAGACUCCUACGGGAGGCGCCAGUGGCGUAUGUUAGACAAUGGGCGCGAGCCUGAUCCAGCCGUACCGCGUGGGUGAAGAAGGCCUUCGGGUUGUAAAGCCCUUUUGUUGGGAAAGAAAAGCAGCAGGUUAAUACCCCGCUGUUCUGACGGUACCCAAAGAAUAAGCACCGGCUAACUUCGUG